ACUCAUGAUUCAUGGCUCUCCACCCCAAGCAUCGGAACUUGCCCAACUUCACCACAGAAGGAAACAGACUGUAAGCUUGGAGGGCCAGGGAGGAAACCGGAGGCAUGUGUGGGAGGAUUAGAAACAUGAAAAGAUAUUUACAGUAAGGUUCGCUUGUCAUCCUCUUGAACUGGGGGUGCAUAGAGUACAAUAAGACCCCAUGUGAGUAUGUUAGAUGAUAAGGCUCAGGUUGGAUGGGUGUGUAGAGUAAAGGCUUUGCAUCACCUUUGCCAGGGUGAGGGAAGGCUAUGGAUAGCACAGGGGACCUUGAUGAUCGGGUGAGGGAGCCCAUGUGGACAUAGUGGUCACCAGCUACUUCCUAGUUCUCUACAUGGGAGAAAGAGCCCUUCUCUGUAAUCAUGGAAGCUCAAGUUCUUGGUGGUUCAGAGGUUAGAGACCUCUGAUUACUAGGACAGAGCAGAAUAGCAGGGCUGGUCCUGGUAGAUCAGACAUCUCAUGACAUCCUUUAAAAGGGACUAGAAUAUUCAGAACUCCGGUGUAACUAAAUGAUCCUCAAGCUUUACCAGCAGGUGAGCAAGGUCCCAUUGUAUUUGGUACUCACAUCCCCACCAAUUCUGUAAAAGUUUGCCAACUUUCCCCUCCAUCCCCUGCACCCUUUCACCAAAAGAUAUGCCUAAGAGUUCCCAAGAGACGUCUAACAUAGGCCUGCAUGUCAGCCCAGUCUUCUGGGCUGAGCUGCUGCACUGUUGCUGGCCUUGAUGGCUGAACCUGAUCUCUGUUGUGGCACCCACCACUCUUUCUCAAGCCUUGACACCUUGGCAGGCUUUGGCAAAAAGAGGAGAGCUGUUCUUCCUCGGCAUUAUGUUCACUUAGCAGGGUCCCACAGCAGGAUUGCUUGGACCCCAGAGUAUUGUAGGGCUUAAUAAGACCAGCCCUUUCAUCUCACACGCUCUAUCCUUUCUCUCACUGGUGCACCCACGUCAGGUGUCUUGAGUGGGGAGUGCUCGAAUAUCUGCCACCAGCUUGAGUCAGAACCUCGACUUCCCUCAGCUUUUCAGGGUCUGUUACUGAGUCUGGUCCACACUCCAGGGUCUUUUCCUCACGGUCUGGGUCUGGUCUUUUUCAGGUGCCUACCUUUCCUCCCUGCAAACUGCCUUGAGUUGCCUCCCCUUCUCCCUUCCUUCCUGGUCUGUCAGAGACAUCUUGUCUGGGUGCAUAUUUGAACCCCAUCAGUAGACAGAAAACAUGUAUUUCCUUGAAGGCCCCUCAGACCCCAGGUACAAACAUUGAAGUAAAUAACAGCAGGGAUGGGGGUUCUGCCUCGCUUCACCUGCCAGCCACGUGCAGACCUUGUUUCAGUCCAACUGAGACUUUAGCAAGUGCUUCAUUCUGGUUUGUGAAUGGCUUCCCAGUGUCUGUCACUGUGUUCACAGGGCCACCGGGGUUGGCUGAGUCAGAAUACCAGCCAUGUGGCAUGUCGCAUGGGGCAAGAGCUGUGCUGCCCAUGGGAGUCCAGAGAAGGAGCACACUAAGGACCAACACCAGCUCUGCAGAUGAGCAAUAUCAU
This 1567-nucleotide long non-coding RNA is filed under the name Homo sapiens (human). RNAcentral's name for it is "non-protein coding lnc-KLF7-1:43". The record is from RNAcentral. Lineage: Eukaryota; Metazoa; Chordata; Mammalia; Primates; Hominidae.